GUCCGUCCCUGCUCGGCUCCUAACAGCGGCAUGAGAGGGGACCCGGUCCAGGACUCCCAGCCUCCACAGCCGCUCUGGACAGCCUCGGCUCGCGCAAAAGACGUCACGACGGCGCCGCCGGAAGUCCCGGCUCCGACCGCAGGAAACGCCCAUCUUCCUUGCUGCCUUUGGCGCAGUACAGAGGCAGCCGGCACAGACUUCUGGAAAUCCAGGGGAUGGGACCCUAGAUCACGUCUAAGAACUGGAGCUGUGGAGUUCCCAUCGUGGCUCAGUGGAAAUGAAUCUGUCUAGCAUCCAUGAGGACAAAGGUUUGGGGAACAUCUGAAUAUUUUGUCUCUACACCUACAUGAUCAGCUCAGACUAUUCCACGGAAAUCUGGGGAUUUAUUCUCCCGGUGGGAGCUUUGGGACGCUGGACCAGCCUGAGGGAAGCAGCUAGGAAGGAAGACCUUGUGCUCGCUGCUCAGUGUGGGGCGAUGCCCCAGCCUCGGCCUCACCUUUGCCCACAGACACUGCUGGAGGCGGCUGCGUUGAAGAGUCCAGUUCAGGUGAGUGCUGCUUCCUCCGCUUAUCAAUGUUCUCUUACCAGCGUCCUGUAUUUAUUUCUCCAAACUUUGGAUUUCCGAAUUUUGAACUAUAACCUGCGUGGAAAAAAAGUCGU
RNAcentral lists this long non-coding RNA (660 nucleotides) under Sus scrofa (pig). Its description in RNAcentral is "lncRNA (ENSSSCG00025008272.1)". Lineage: Eukaryota; Metazoa; Chordata; Mammalia; Artiodactyla; Suidae. The record is from RNAcentral.